RNAcentral lists this ribosomal RNA (181 nucleotides) under Pseudomonas syringae. RNAcentral describes it as "partial 16S ribosomal RNA". It matches the Rfam family "Bacterial small subunit ribosomal RNA", at positions 1 to 177 of the family's 1533-position model. Lineage: Bacteria; Pseudomonadati; Pseudomonadota; Gammaproteobacteria; Pseudomonadales; Pseudomonadaceae. The record is from RNAcentral.
UUGAACUGAAGAGUUUGAUCAUGGCUCAGAUUGAACGCUGGCGGCAGGCCUAACACAUGCAAGUCGAGCGGCAGCACGGGUACUUGUAUCUGGUGGCGAGCGGCGGACGGGUGAGUAAUGCCUAGGAAUCUGCCUGGUAGUGGGGGAUAACGCUCGGAAACGGACGCUAAUACCGCAUACG